RNA transcript from Poecile atricapillus (Black-capped chickadee), 5510 nucleotides. It is a transcript of the gene named cryptochrome-1-like, with no coding region annotated. The record is from RefSeq and is a predicted model, not a curated record. The transcript is spliced from 11 exons. NCBI's taxonomy places the organism in Eukaryota, Metazoa, Chordata, Aves, Passeriformes, Paridae.
CUGGGGGCGUGGCUGGAAGUUGCUGUGGGGAGGCGGGCGCGGGGCCGGAGCCGCUCCGGGAUCCCCCGGGACCCUCCGGUAUCCCCGGCUCUGGAAUGCUCCAGCCCUGGGCCCUCCCACCCUGAACCGCGUUAAACCCCCGCGGACAGCGGGCAGGGCCCCGCUGGGAGCGGUCCUUGCGUAACCCGCCCGUCCUGGCCGGCGUUAUGUAAGCAGCCCCGUGGGGCGAGGAACCGGCGCCGCGCCCGCCGCCACCGCAGCCCGUGGGGAAGGAGGGAUUUGUUAUCCUGAAGCCCAAGGGUUCCCUUCCUCCUGUAGGCAGCAUGCUGCAUCGCACCAUUCACCUCUUCCGGAAGGAGCUGCGGCUCCACGACAACCCAGUGCUGCUGGCUGCCCUGGAGUCCUCAGAGGCCCUGUACCCCGUCUACAUCCUGGACAGAGCAUUCCUCACCUCCUCCAUGCACAUUGGGGCCCUGCGCUGGCACUUCCUGCUCCAGUCCCUUGAGGAUCUCCACAAAAACUUGUGCCAGCUGGGCUCCUGCUUGCUGGUUAUUCAAGGGGAGUAUGAGGCUGUUGUUAGGGAUCACAUCCAGAGGUGGAAUAUCACGCAGGUGACGCUGGAUGCAGAGAUGGAGCCGUUUUACCAGGAGAUGGAGGCCAACAUCCGGCGCCUGGGGGCAGAGCUGGGCUUCGAGGUGCUUUCCCUGGCGGGCCACAGCCUGUACAAUACCCAGCGGAUUUUGGACAUAAACGGUGGGAGUCCCCCAUUAACUUACAAGAGGUUCCUUCACAUUCUGUCUCUGCUUGGUGACCCUGAGAUGCCUGUCCGAAACCUCACAGCUGAAGACUUCCAGAGAUGUAGGGCCCCUGACCCAAGCCUGGCUGAGUGUUACAGAGUGCCUCUCCCUGUGGAUUUGAAGAUUUCCCCAGAGAGCCUUUCCCCUUGGAGAGGAGGGGAGACUGAAGGGCUGCAGCGCCUGGAGCAACACUUGAGUGACCAGGGCUGGGUGACAAGUUUUGCUAAACCAAGGACAAUCCCAAACUCGCUGCUUCCAAGCACCACAGGCCUGAGCCCAUAUUUCAGUAUGGGCUGUCUGUCGGUUCGGACAUUUUUUUAUAGGUUAUCAAACAUUUAUGCUCAGGCAAAGCACCACUCUCUGCCCCCAGUGUCACUCCAAGGGCAGCUGUUGUGGAGGGAAUUUUUCUAUACAGUAGCAUCAGCAACCCCCAACUUCACACAGAUGGCUGGAAACCCCAUCUGCCUCCAGAUCUGCUGGUGCAAGGACGCAGAGAGGCUCCACAAAUGGAAAACGGCACAGACAGGGUUCCCAUGGAUCGAUGCCAUCAUGACCCAGCUGCGCCAGGAGGGCUGGAUCCAUCACCUGGCUCGGCACGCUGUCGCCUGCUUCCUGACACGGGGGGACCUCUGGAUCAGCUGGGAGGAGGGAAUGAAGGUGUUUGAAGAGCUGCUUUUAGAUGCUGACUACAGCAUCAAUGCUGGGAACUGGAUGUGGCUGUCAGCCAGCGCCUUCUUCCACCAGUACACACGGAUCUUCUGCCCUGUCCGCUUUGGGAAGCGCACAGACCCCCAGGGUGACUACAUCAGAAAAUACUUGCCUAUACUAAAGAACUUUCCCUCCAAGUACAUCUACGAGCCCUGGACUGCAUCUGAAGAAGAGCAGAAGCAAGCAGGAUGUAUCAUAGGUCAGGAUUACCCCUUCCCCAUGGUGAACCACAAGGAAGCCAGUGACCACAACCUGCAGUUGAUGAAACAGGUCAGAGAGGAGCAGCACAGAACAGCCCAGCUGACGAGAGGUGAGAGGUGCUGCAGCACCCAGGUUCCCUGUGCUGUGACACUCAGGCUGUCCCCAGGAACCCGGGGCUCUGAGGCUUUGAGUGCUUUUCCAGGAUGCUUUUCUUCUUUGGAUACCAACAUCAUGUGCAGCUCUUCUGGUUACUGUUAAAACACUGUCCCAUGUGUAAGAACCAGUGUGAGCCUUUUCUUCCUUCCCUCUCCCCUUGGAGCACCCUCCUGCCUGCAGCCUGCCUUCCCAGAACCAGAUCUCCACCUGCCCUGACUCCCCAGCCCCAGGCUGGUUGGGUGUGUCCCCAGGGUGCAGAAAUCUCUGCAGCUCUGCCCUUGCCUCUUGUAAACCAGAAUAUUCUUGUUUGUCCUUGGUGCCGUGAUCUGCCCUAUGCCAUAGCAGAUAUUGAGAUUCUCACUGAGCACAAAACUCUGGAGAGAUGAUGCAGAUGACCCCAUGGAAAUAAAGGUAAAACGUGACCAUUCUGAAGAAAACAUUUCAAAAGGAAAAGUGGCCAGAACGACAGAAUAAACCAAAAUUCCCUCAGGGGUCACCUGCUGGGUACCAAAAAAAGUCAAGAGGGGAGAGCCAGGGGUCAGCUGAGCUGGCCAAAGCACUGUCCUCCAUACUUGGCCCUGCUAAUGGUGCCUCUUGUUUGUGACCUGACCUUAGGAGACCUGUUGGAUCUUGAGUGGUUUUACUGCAGUUUUGGAUGGAAUUGUUUAUUUCUGAGUUGCUUCUGGACCAUUUGUUGAAGCUGUUGGCUGAAUGCAAGAUGUGUUUCAUGCACCUGUAUAAAUAGAUUUUGUGGCAAAUACUCAAUGUCAUAAGACUUUGUGCACAUUAAUGUGGUUGCACAUUAAUAUUAGGACCCUUGAUUUGCUUGCCUUAUAGAGAUGGACACUUAGGGAUGUUCAGAUUAUUUAAGUUCCCAGUUUGUGAUUGUAGUCCCCAGUUUGGGUAGACAGAGUAGAGUGCAGCCCCUUGUACCUUGUGUAGUUUUAAAGUCAUAAGUAGGAAUUAUUAUGCAUUUUAAGGACAACAUUGAAAAUAUCUCACUAAAUUAGGCCUAAUACACAACUUUAUCACCAUAAUUGUCUUCCUUGGCUGACCAGAACUGCAGGGUAGAGAUCAAUUCUAUCAUGUACCACAUGGAAAAAAUUUCCCCUCCCACGGAAAUGUACUGCUGUGAAGUUAGACAAGGCUGGAUUAGUCAAUUGUGGUUGUUGGUGGGGAGUGCAGUGGGGUUUUCAUGGCUGCAGGUAGCAUUUUGGGUUUGGAAAGAAAUAAAACUUAUUUCUUACAUGAACAAUGCAAGGGCUCUGGAUCAAUCUAUUAUCAUAAUUGAUAUCCAUCAGUCCUCUCGGGAAACCUGGUGGCACAACAGCUCCAGCAGCAUUCCAAACUCCUUGGAAGCAUCCUGGGAUCUGGUGCAGGAGCAGCACGGGAACCAUGAGCACCAGGAGGAUCUUUCAGUGCUGCUGGAGACCUGCAGGACCUGUCAGGGCAGAUCCUGGCAGCAGGGCAGUGAGGUGUAAAUACAAAGCUGCAAGGAUCUUCCUGCUGCUCCAAGCCUGUGUCAAUUUCCUGGAGAUGCCGGUGUUCCCUGACACUUCAGCCCUCCAGAAAACUUCCUGACUUCCAGGGAUGGCCAGAAGGAAAGGCCUCCUGCCUCCCCCUUUAGGAAAGGUAGAAUUCCAAGGUAUCAGAUUGGUGGAUUCCAGGGAUCAGUGCUGGGCCCAAUCCUAUUGAAUCUCUUCACUGAUCAUCUGAACGAGUGACUGAGUCCACCAUCAGUGAAUUUGCAGAUGACACCCAGCUGGGAGAACGUGUCCAUCUGUUGGAAGGGAGGAGGGCUGUGCAGAGACCUGCAAUGGUUGGAUGGAUGGACAGAGUCCAGUAAGAUGAAGUUUAAUAAGAUGAAGUUGGCCACAACAGCCCCCUGCAGCACUCCAGGCUGGGGAUGGUGUGGCUGGAAAGGACCUGGGGGUGCUGGCCAGCAGCUGACUGAACAUGAGCCAGCAGAGAGCCCUGCUGGCCCAGAGGGCUGGUGGCAUCCUGGCCUGGAUCAGGAAUGGUGUGGCCAGCAGGAGCAGGGAGCUCAUUCUGCCCCUGUGCUCGGCACUGCUGAGGCCACACCUCGAGUGCUGUGUCCAGUCCUGGCCCCUCGGUUCAGGAAGGACAUUGAGAGCCUUGAGCACCUCCAGAGGAGGGCAGUGGGGCUGGAGAGGGGCCUGGAACACAAACCCUGUGAGGAGUGACUGAGGGAACUGGGGUUGUUCAGCCUGGAGAAAAGGAGACUCAGAGGUGACCUUAUCACUCUCUAGACAUCCCUGAAAGGUGGUCUCCCCUGACCCUCCUCAUCUCCAGGCUGAGCCCCCCAGCUCAGCCACUCCAGGGGCUCCAUCCCCAGUCCCAUUCCCUUCCCUGGGACAUGCUCCAGUCCCUCAAGGUGUUUUUGGGGCGAGGGGCUCAAAACUGACUCCAGGAUUGGAGGUGGGGCCUCAGCAGUGCAGGGUCACUGCAUGGUCCUGCUGGACACACCACGGCCACACAAACACCCCCAGGCCCUUUUCCCCACCUGGAAGGGCUGAGCUGGUUUGUGACUUCAUGGUCAAGAGUCCUGCUCCGUAAAAAUGAAUUCCUGGCAGAGUGUGUCUGUCUUUGCAUCUUUUCCUCUAAGGGGAUCUGACCUUGGAGGCAGCAGGAGCUGAUGUGGAGCUGUGCAGAUACUGACACACAACUAUUGCACCUGAUGCAUCUCUCUGAGUUCUGGGCUGUGGAGACAAGUGAUGGCAUCUUUGCUGGGCAUUCCUGGCAUGAUUCAAGUCCAUUCUGGCUGGAUUUGGGUCACCUUAGGUGCUUCUGCUAAAGGAGGGAAAUGUGUCUGAUGGUGUUGAUUUUGUUUGAUUUUUCUUUUUUUUGACCACUCCUGCCCCUCCAUUGGCUUCCUCACCCCUCUCCAACGUGCCCAGAGCUUCUCUCUAUGCCUGGGAUGAUAUUCAUUCUCAUUUUUGCUUCCUUAUCAGACUUAAAUGGUAAAGUUUUUAUUUGGGGGUUGUGAAUUAGGGCUCUAAGUGUCUUUUCUGAUUUCAUUUCUUUUGGUUUAUCAUUGAUAGAAAUGAGAGUGAUGUGACCUGUUGUGGGUCACUUGUGGAGCCUUUCAUGGAAUCCCAGGCUGGUUUGGGCUGGAAGGAAGCUCACCCUGUUCCACCCCUGCCAUGGUCGAGAACUAGACCAGGUCCCACUAGACCAGGUGGCUCCAAAGCCCGUCCAGCUCGGCAUUUCCAGAGCUGCUUUCGUGUUUUGCCAGCAGUGGAGCUGAUGAACCAUCUGCCCUCCUGUCUGCUGAGGAAAUCUUCACUUCUCCUAAGAGGGCAGAGCUCCCUGGGGGCUGCAGCUCCGAUCUCUGCUCUCUGUGACAGGGACAGCACCCAGGGAAGGGCUCAGGCCAGGGCAGGCUCAGGCUGGAGAUCAGGGAAAGGUUCUCAGAGCAGGACAUCAAACAGCCCUCCCUGGCUGGGGGUGACGCCUCCAAGAGCCACCAGGCAGAUGUUGAUGCUGGGCUGGAGCUGACCCUGGAACUGGAACCAUCUCUCCAGGCCUGUGAGGGAUGAUCCUCUUUGGAAUGAACCUGGUCAGUGCAAACCCAGUGCUCUGAGUCCCAGCUGGGCAGGGCUGGGGCCGCUGGGGCUGUCCUGGAAC